AUGUUCUCUGUAGCUGUGCUGCUGCUGCUGCUGGCUGCUGGAUCUUGUGUUGAUGGUCAGACUCUGACAGAAUCUGAACCAGCAGUUAAAAGUCCUGGAGGAUCUCACAGAUUGACCUGUACAGCCACUGGAUUCACAUUCAGCAGCUACGGCAUGCACUGGGUCAGACAGGCUCCUGGAAAAGGACUGGAGUGGAUCGCUUAUAUCUACACUGAUGGCAGCAGCCAGUUCUACUCUCAGUCAGUCAGAGGGCGGUUUACCAUCUCCAGAGACAACAGCAGACAGCAGCUGUAUCUGCAGAUGAACAGUCUGAAGACUGAAGAUUCUGCUGUUUAUUUAUAA
This is a non-coding RNA of Centropristis striata (black sea bass), 342 nucleotides long. Lineage: Eukaryota; Metazoa; Chordata; Actinopteri; Perciformes; Serranidae. The record is from the annotation of a RefSeq genome assembly.